Molecule: ribosomal RNA, 548 nt
Filed under: Shigella sonnei
Lineage: Bacteria; Pseudomonadati; Pseudomonadota; Gammaproteobacteria; Enterobacterales; Enterobacteriaceae
Description: bacterial LSU rRNA
Rfam family: Bacterial large subunit ribosomal RNA
Source: RNAcentral
GGGUUGUGAGGUUAAGCGACUAAGCGUACACGGUGGAUGCCCUGGCAGUCAGAGGCGAUGAAGGACGUGCUAAUCUGCGAUAAGCGUCGGUAAGGUGAUAUGAACCGUUAUAACCGGCGAUUUCCGAAUGGGGAAACCCAGUGUGAUUCGUCACACUAUCAUUAACUGAAUCCAUAGGUUAAUGAGGCGAACCGGGGGAACUGAAACAUCUAAGUACCCCGAGGAAAAGAAAUCAACCGAGAUUCCCCCAGUAGCGGCGAGCGAACGGGGAGCAGCCCAGAGCCUGAAUCAGUGUGUGUGUUAGUGGAAGCGUCUGGAAAGGCGCGCGAUACAGGGUGACAGCCCCGUACACAAAAAUGCACAUAUUGUGAGCUCGAUGAGUAGGGCGGGACACGUGGUAUCCUGUCUGAAUAUGGGGGGCCCAUCCUCCAAGGCUAAAUACUCCUGACUGACCGAUAGUGAACCAGUACCGUGAGGGAAAGGCGAAAAGAACCCCGGCGAGGGGAGUGAAAAAGAACCUGAAACCGUGUACGUACAAGCAGUGGGAG